RNAcentral lists this ribosomal RNA (465 nucleotides) under uncultured bacterium. RNAcentral describes it as "partial 16S ribosomal RNA". It matches the Rfam family "Bacterial small subunit ribosomal RNA", at positions 376 to 795 of the family's 1533-position model. The record is from RNAcentral.
CCUCCUUUCUUCCUCCUUCUUUCCUCUUCCCCCCUUUCCUCCCGUCUGCUGGCGCCACGCCGCGUGAGUGAAGAAGGGUUUCGGCUCGUAAAGCUCUGUUGGUAGUGAAGAAAGAUAGAGGUAGUAACUGGCCUUUAUUUGACGGUAAUUACUUAGAAAGUCACGGCUAACUACGUGCCAGCAGCCGCGGUAAUACGUAGGUGGCAAGCGUUGUCCGGAUUUAUUGGGCGUAAAGCGAGUGCAGGCGGUUCAAUAAGUCUGAUGUGAAAGCCUUCGGCUCAACCGGAGAAUUGCAUCAGAAACUGUUGAACUUGAGUGCAGAAGAGGAGAGUGGAACUCCAUGUGUAGCGGUGGAAUGCGUAGAUAUAUGGAAGAACACCAGUGGCGAAGGCGGCUCUCUGGUCUGCAACUGACGCUGAGGCUCGAAAGCAUGGGUAGCGAACAGGAUUAGAUACCCGAGUAGUC